CCUACGGGAGGCAGCAGUGAGGAAUAUUGGUCAAUGGACGAGAGUCUGAACCAGCCAAGUAGCGUGAAGGAUGACUGCCCUAUGGGUUGUAAACUUCUUUUAUAUGGGAAUAAAAUGUUCCACGUGUGGGAUUUUGUAUGUACCAUAUGAAUAAGGAUCGGCUAACUCCGUGCCAGCAGCCGCGGUAAUACGGAGGAUCCGAGCGUUAUCCGGAUUUAUUGGGUUUAAAGGGAGCGUAGGUGGAUUGUUAAGUCAGUUGUGAAAGUUUGCGGCUCAACCGUAAAAUUGCAGUUGAAACUGGCAGUCUUGAGUACAGUAGAGGUGGGCGGAAUUCGUGGUGUAGCGGUGAAAUGCUUAGAUAUCACGAAGAACUCCGAUUGCGAAGGCAGUUCACUGGACUGCAACUGACACUGAGACUCGAAAGUGUGGGUAUCAAACAGGAUUAGAUACCCGUGUAGUC
RNAcentral lists this ribosomal RNA (460 nucleotides) under uncultured bacterium. Its description in RNAcentral is "partial 16S ribosomal RNA". It matches the Rfam family "Bacterial small subunit ribosomal RNA", at positions 338 to 795 of the family's 1533-position model. The record is from RNAcentral.